This 421-nucleotide ribosomal RNA is filed under the name uncultured microorganism. RNAcentral's name for it is "bacterial SSU rRNA". It matches the Rfam family "Bacterial small subunit ribosomal RNA", at positions 9 to 429 of the family's 1533-position model. The record is from RNAcentral.
GAGUUUGAUCUUGGCUCAGAUUGAACGCUGGCGGCAUGCCUUACACAUGCAAGUCGAACGGCAGCAUGAUCUAGCUUGCUAGAUUGAUGGCGAGUGGCGAACGGGGUGAGUAAUACAUCGGAACGUGCCCUGUAGUGGGGGAUAACUAGUCGGAAGAUUAGCUAAUACCGCAUACGACCUGAGGGUGAAAGUGGGGGACCGCAAGGCCUCAUGCUAUAGGAGCGGCCGAUGUCUGAUUAGCUAGUUGGUGGGGUAAAGGCCCACCAAGGCGACGAUCAGUAGCUGGUCUGAGAGGACGAUCAGCCACACUGGGACUGAGACACGGCCCAGACUCCUACGGGAGGCAGCAGUGGGGAAUUUGGACAAUGGGCGAAGCCUGAUCCAGCAAUGCCGCGUGUGUGAAGAAGGCCUCGGUUGUAAG